UCCGUAGGUGAACCUGCGGAAGGAUCAUUACCGAGUUGAUUCGGGCUCCGGCCCGAUCCUCCCACCCUUUGUGUACCUACCUCUGUUGCUUUGGCGGGCCGCGGUCCUCCGCGGCCGCCCCCCUCCCCGGGGGGGUGGCCAGCGCCCGCCAGAGGACCAUCAAACUCCAGUCAGUAAACGAUGCAGUCUGAAAAACAUUUAAUAAACUAAAACUUUCAACAACGGAUCUCUUGGUUCUGGCAUCGUUGAAGAACGCAGCGAAAUGCGAUAAGUAAUGUGAAUUGCAGAAUUCAGUGAAUCAUCGAAUCUUUGAACGCACAUUGCGCCCUUUGGUAUUCCGAAGGGCAUGCCUGUUCGAGCGUCAUUACAACCCUCAAGCUCUGCUUGGUAUUGGGCACUGUCCUUUGCGGGCGCGCCUCAAAGACCUCGGCGGUGGCGUCUUGCCUCAAGCGUAGUAGAACAUACAUCUCGCUUCGGAGCGCAGGGCGUCGCCCGCCGGACGAACCUUCUGAACUUUUCUCAAGGUUGACCUCGGAUCAGGUAGGGAUACCCGCUGAACUUAAGCAUAUCAAUAAGCGGAGGA
This 583-nucleotide ribosomal RNA is filed under the name Botryosphaeria dothidea. RNAcentral describes it as "eukaryotic LSU rRNA". The stretch from base 211 to 364 matches the Rfam family "5.8S ribosomal RNA". The record is from RNAcentral. Lineage: Eukaryota; Fungi; Ascomycota; Dothideomycetes; Botryosphaeriales; Botryosphaeriaceae.